This 257-nucleotide ribosomal RNA is filed under the name uncultured bacterium. RNAcentral describes it as "partial 16S ribosomal RNA". It matches the Rfam family "Bacterial small subunit ribosomal RNA", at positions 795 to 1052 of the family's 1533-position model. The record is from RNAcentral.
CCAUGCCGUAAACGAUGAUUACUAGGUGUGGGGGGAUUGACCCCCUCCGUGCCGCAGUUAACACAAUAAGUAAUCCACCUGGGGAGUACGACCGCAAGGUUGAAACUCAAAGGAAUUGACGGGGGCCCGCACAAGCAGUGGAGUAUGUGGUUUAAUUCGAAGCAACGCGAAGAACCUUACCAGGUCUUGACAUCGGAUGCAUAUCUAAGAGAUUAGAGAAGUCUUUCGGGACAUCCAGACAGGUGGUGCAUGGUUGU